AACGAACGCUGGCGGCAGGCUUAACACAUGCAAGUCGAACGCACCUUUCGGGGUGAGUGGCUGACGGGUGAGUAACGCGUGGGAAUCUACCCUUCUCUACGGGAUAGCUCCGGGAAACUGGAAUUAAUACCGUAUACGUCCUGAGGGAGAAAGAUUUAUCGGGGAAGGAUGAGCCCGCGUUGGCUUAGCUAGUUGGUGGGGUAAAGGCCUACCAAGGCGACGAUCCAUAGCUGGUCUAAGAGGAUGAUCAGCCACAUUGGGACUGAGACACGGCCCAAACUCCUACGGGAGGCAGCAGUGGGGAAUAUUGGACAAUGGGCGCAAGCCUGAUCCAGCCAUGCCGCGUGAGUGAUGAAGGCCCUAGGGUUGUAAAGCUCUUUCAGUGGGGACGAUAAUGACGGUACCCACAGAAGAAGCCCCGGCUAACUUCGUG
RNAcentral lists this ribosomal RNA (433 nucleotides) under uncultured bacterium. Its description in RNAcentral is "partial 16S ribosomal RNA". It matches the Rfam family "Bacterial small subunit ribosomal RNA", at positions 29 to 507 of the family's 1533-position model. The record is from RNAcentral.